GACGAACGCUGGCGGCGUGCUUAACACAUGCAAGUCGAGCGGUAAGGCCCUUUCGGGGGUACACGAGCGGCGAACGGGUGAGUAACACGUGGGUGACCUGCCCUCAGCUCUGGGAUAAGCCUGGGAAACCGGGUCUAAUACUGGAUAUGACUCCAUGACGCAUGUUGUGGGUGGAAAGCCUUGUGCGGCUGAGGAUGGGCCCGCGGCCUAUCAGCUUGUUGGUGGGGUGAUGGCCUACCAAGGCGACGACGGGUAGCCGGCCUGAGAGGCGACCGGCCACACUGGGACUGAGACACGGCCCAGACUCCUACGGGAGGCAGCAGUGGGGAAUCUUGCGCAAAUGGGCG
This 347-nucleotide ribosomal RNA is filed under the name uncultured bacterium. RNAcentral's name for it is "bacterial SSU rRNA". It matches the Rfam family "Bacterial small subunit ribosomal RNA", at positions 28 to 377 of the family's 1533-position model. The record is from RNAcentral.